Molecule: ribosomal RNA, 1372 nt
Filed under: uncultured bacterium
Lineage: Bacteria
Description: bacterial SSU rRNA
Rfam family: Bacterial small subunit ribosomal RNA
Source: RNAcentral
GAUGAACGCUGGCGGCGUGCCUAAUACAUGCAAGUCGAGCGAACGGACGAGAAGCUUGCUUCUCUGAUGUUAGCGGCGGACGGGUGAGUAACACGUGGAUAACCUACCUAUAAGACUGGGAUAACUUCGGGAAACCGGAGCUAAUACCGGAUAAUAUUUUGAACCGCAUGGUUCAAAAGUGAAAGACGGUCUUGCUGUCACUUAUAGAUGGAUCCGCGCUGCAUUAGCUAGUUGGUAAGGCAACGGCUUACCAAGGCAACGAUGCAUAGCCGACCUGAGAGGGUGAUCGGCCACACUGGAACUGAGACACGGUCCAGACUCCUACGGGAGGCAGCAGUAGGGAAUCUUCCGCAAUGGGCGAAAGCCUGACGGAGCAACGCCGCGUGAGUGAUGAAGGUCUUCGGAUCGUAAAACUCUGUUAUUAGGGAAGAACAUAUGUGUAAGUAACUAUGCACAUCUUGACGGUACCUAAUCAGAAAGCCACGGCUAACUACGUGCCAGCAGCCGCGGUAAUACGUAGGUGGCAAGCGUUAUCCGGAAUUAUUGGGCGUAAAGCGCGCGUAGGCGGUUUUUUAAGUCUGAUGUGAAAGCCCACGGCUCAACCGUGGAGGGUCAUUGGAAACUGGAAAACUUGAGUGCAGAAGAGGAAAGUGGAAUUCCAUGUGUAGCGGUGAAAUGCGCAGAGGUAUGGAGGAACACCAGUGGCGAAGGCGACUUUCUGGUCUGUAACUGACGCUGAUGUGCGAAAGCGUGGGGAUCAAACGGGAUUAGAUACCCUGGUAGUCCACGCCGUAAACGAUGAGUGCUAAGUGUUAGGGGGUUUCCGCCCCUUAGUGCUGCAGCUAACGCAUUAAGCACUCCGCCUGGGGAGUACGACCGCAAGGUUGAAACUCAAAGGAAUUGACGGGGACCCGCACAAGCGGUGGAGCAUGUGGUUUAAUUCGAAGCAACGCGAAGAACCUUACCAAAUCUUGACAUCCUCUGACCCCUCUAGAGAUAGAGUUUUCCCCUUCGGGGGACAGAGUGACAGGUGGUGCAUGGUUGUCGUCAGCUCGUGUCGUGAGAUGUUGGGUUAAGUCCCGCAACGAGCGCAACCCUUAAGCUUAGUUGCCAUCAUUAAGUUGGGCACUCUAAGUUGACUGCCGGUGACAAACCGGAGGAAGGUGGGGAUGACGUCAAAUCAUCAUGCCCCUUAUGAUUUGGGCUACACACGUGCUACAAUGGACAAUACAAAGGGUAGCGAAACCGCGAGGUCAAGCAAAUCCCAUAAAGCUGUUCUCAGUUCGGAUUGUAGUCUGCAACUCGACUAUAUGAAGCUGGAAUCGCUAGUAAUCGUAGAUCAGCAUGCUACGGUGAAUACGUUCCCGGGUCU